This 492-nucleotide ribosomal RNA is filed under the name uncultured bacterium. RNAcentral's name for it is "partial 16S ribosomal RNA". It matches the Rfam family "Bacterial small subunit ribosomal RNA", at positions 29 to 507 of the family's 1533-position model. The record is from RNAcentral.
AGUGAACGCUGGCGGUAGGCCUAACACAUGCCAGUCGAACGGCAGCACAGUAAGAUCUUGCUCUUCCGGGUGGCGAGUGGCGUACGGGUGAGGAAUACAUCGUAAUCUACUUUUUCGUGGGGGAUCACGUAGGGAAACUUACUCUAGUACCGCAUACCCCCUACCGUUGAAAGCAGGGGAUCUUCGCACCUUGCGCGAUUGAAUGAGCCGAUGUGGGGUUAGCUAGUUGGCUGGGUAAUGGCCCACCAAGGCGACGAUCGGUAGCUGGACUGAGAGACGGGUAGGCCACAUUGGAGAGGAGACACGGUCAUGAGUCCUAAGGGAGGCAGCAGUCGGGAAUAUUGGACAACGGGCGCAAGCAUGACACAGCCAUACCGAGUGGGUGAAGGAGGCCUCGGGGGUGUAAAGACCGUUUGUUGGGAAAGAACAGCAUCAGGUUAAUACCAAGCUGGUCUGACGGUACUCAAAGAAUAAGCACCGGCUAACUUCGUG